UGCAGCUAAAUAAGCACGAAUGUAAAUGUGUUAUCAGUUAGAGAAAAAAAUAACCGCGGUUAUGGGAGAGGAUGCUGCAAUCUCGCAAUAAUUCGAUAGUAUUUAAUUAUAGCAUCAACGUCAGGAGCUGUAGAUACCGAUGUGAGCUAUUUCGUAGGGUGGGGGAGCUAACCCCUAAUCCUAUCCCCAAGGAACUACCCCUAGUUUUAUAUAGUAGCUCUUAGGGUCUAAGGCAGCCCCCUGGUUUUUUAUAGUAAGACGUAGAAGCUAUCCUCAAAGAGAACAGAGUUCGCAGAUGUCAUUAUUCUAAUAAUUGGUAUGGGAAGUUUCAAUCUUGCGAUAGUGUUUAUUUAUAGCAGCGCGUGCUCGCGAAUUUGAUAUGGUACUUUAUCCCAUUUCAUUUCCAUAUCGACACCUAUAUACGGGUUUUAUUGUGUAUGAAUGCGUAAAGUUCGAAAAUCUCCCAUAAAAAAGGUGGGAAAUAUGAUGGAAAUAGGAAAUGUGUAUAUCUUUACGGUGAAGUACGUUCUGUACUAAUUAUAAAUUCGACGUUCCGCAAUAUUUAAAAACGGCGUGCAUCCGCAAUCCGAUUUCAAUAAGUGCAUGUGUGUAUACACCUACUUAGACAGGCGCCUUCAUAUAUACCUCAGGGAUACGUGUCCUUGCGCGCAUAAUUUGCAGUUUAAUGAAAGCGUGACAUUUUUAUUGUAUUUAUUCGGCGAUCAUUUUAUAUGGCUGUUCGCAAAUAAUCGUCUACAUCAGAGUUGGACCCCGAUAUCAAACCUCAAUGGAGGAUUGCCUUCAUCAUCAUCAUGGUUAAACGGUCGCAAGCGCCGUAGCUUUAUUAUUAUAAUACCUAUAUAAUAUCUUAGAUUUAUUGAUGGGAAGUAGGUAGAGGAUAAUGCCGUUGCGAUAAAUAAGAUAACAUUGUGAAUAUUAUGUAUUACACCAACUUUAGCUAUAUCUAUAUUAAGAAAAGGCUUAUCAUAUAACCUUCAUAUCAAUUACAGCUAUUAAGAAAAGUUUCAUAUGGGACUAAAUCAAUUUUUCUUGGAUCAAAGUUUAUGUGCGGAUAAUAUGUGAUAAGGCAAGCUUCUUAAAUCAAAUUGAUACACUUGAGGCAGCACCUUCAUAAUACGUGUAAGCAUACGAUUUAAAACAGAUGUGUUAUUAAUUCUAGCAAUCAAAGUGUUAGGAUAUGAAUUUUUAUUACUCUAGUUAGAAUAGUGCUGUUAUAUAAACUCUCACAAAUUUU
Molecule: long non-coding RNA, 1255 nt
Organism: Photinus pyralis (common eastern firefly)
Lineage: Eukaryota; Metazoa; Arthropoda; Insecta; Coleoptera; Lampyridae
Exons: 3
Source: RefSeq, a predicted model, not a curated record